RNAcentral lists this ribosomal RNA (443 nucleotides) under uncultured bacterium. Its description in RNAcentral is "bacterial SSU rRNA". It matches the Rfam family "Bacterial small subunit ribosomal RNA", at positions 29 to 517 of the family's 1533-position model. The record is from RNAcentral.
AACGAACGCUGGCGGCAUGCCUAACACAUGCAAGUCGAACGAAGGCUUCGGCCUUAGUGGCGCACGGGUGCGUAACGCGUGGGAACCUGCCCCUCGGUUCGGAAUAACAGUUAGAAAUGACUGCUAAUACCGGAUGAUGACUUCGGUCCAAAGAUUUAUCGCCGAGGGAUGGGCCCGCGUAGGAUUAGCUAGUUGGUGGGGUAAAGGCCUACCAAGGCGACGAUCCUUAGCUGGUCUGAGAGGAUGAUCAGCCACACUGGGACUGAGACACGGCCCAGACUCCUACGGGAGGCAGCAGUGGGGAAUAUUGGACAAUGGGCGAAAGCCUGAUCCAGCAAUGCCGCGUGAGUGAUGAAGGCCUUAGGGUUGUAAAGCUCUCUUACCAGGGAUGAUAAUGACAGUACCUGGAGAAUAAGCUCCGGCUAACUCCGUGCCAGCAGCCG